AUGUUCUCUGUAGCUCUGCUGCUGCUGCUGGCUGCUGGGAGUGUGAAGUGUGAACAGUUGACCCAGCCAGCCUUUGUGACUGUGCAGCCAGGUCAACGUCUGACCAUCACCAGUCAGGUCUCUUAUUCUCUCAGCAGCUACAACACAGCUUGGAUCAGACAGCCUGCAGGGAAAGGACUGGAGUGGAUUGGAAUGAAACAUACUGGAGCUUCAUACUACAAAGAUUCCCUGAAGAACAAGUUUAGUAUUGACUUAGAGACUUCCAGCAAGACAGUGACUCUAAAUGGACAGAAUGUGCAGCCUGAAGACACUGCUGUGUAUUACUGUGCCAGG
Molecule: non-coding RNA, 333 nt
Organism: Perca flavescens (yellow perch)
Lineage: Eukaryota; Metazoa; Chordata; Actinopteri; Perciformes; Percidae
Source: the annotation of a RefSeq genome assembly